UGCCGGGUCGUCUAAUUGGCAGGACAUCUGACUCUGGAUCAGAGAGUUGGUGGUUCGAAUCCACCCCCGGCAGCCA
This 76-nucleotide transfer RNA is filed under the name bacterium. Its description in RNAcentral is "tRNA-Gln". It matches the Rfam family "tRNA". From Rfam's summary of the family: Transfer RNA (tRNA) molecules are approximately 80 nucleotides in length. RNAcentral also lists the same sequence under 4 other names. The record is from RNAcentral.